CAGUAGCCGCGGGAAAACGAAGGGGGCUAGCGUUGCUCGGAAUUACUGGGCGUAAAGCGCACGUAGGCGGCUUUGUAAGUCAGAGGUGAAAGCCUGGAGCUCAACUCCAGAACUGCCUUUGAGACUGCAUCGCUUGAAUCCAGGAGAGGUGAGUGGAAUUCCGAGUGUAGAGGUGAAAUUCGUAGAUAUUCGGAAGAACACCAGUGGCGAAGGCGGCUCACUGGACUGGUAUUGACGCUGAGGUGCGAAAGCGUGGGGAGCAAACAGGAUUAGAUACCCCCGUAGUCCCUGUCUCUUAUAC
RNAcentral lists this ribosomal RNA (301 nucleotides) under uncultured bacterium. RNAcentral's name for it is "partial 16S ribosomal RNA". It matches the Rfam family "Bacterial small subunit ribosomal RNA", at positions 509 to 807 of the family's 1533-position model. The record is from RNAcentral.